CGACGUGAGUAACCUGCCUUGGAGUGGGGAAUAACACAUCGAAAGAUGUGCUAAUACCGCAUAAUGCAGUUGGGCCGCAUGGCUCUGACUGCCAAAGAUUUAUCGCUCUGGGAUGGACUCGCGUCUGAUUAGCUGGUUGGCGGGGUAACGGCCCACCAAGGCGACGAUCGGUAGCCGGACUGAGAGGUUGACCGGCCACAUUGGGACUGAGACACGGCCCAGACUCCUACGGAAGGCAGCAG
Molecule: ribosomal RNA, 242 nt
Filed under: uncultured bacterium
Lineage: Bacteria
Description: partial 16S ribosomal RNA
Rfam family: Bacterial small subunit ribosomal RNA
Source: RNAcentral